RNAcentral lists this ribosomal RNA (207 nucleotides) under uncultured bacterium. RNAcentral's name for it is "partial 16S ribosomal RNA". It matches the Rfam family "Bacterial small subunit ribosomal RNA", at positions 568 to 774 of the family's 1533-position model. The record is from RNAcentral.
CGUGUAGGCGGUCAGGUAAGUGGAAUGUGAAAGCCCCCGGCUCACCCGGGGAUCUGCAUCCCAUACUGCCUGGCUUGAGUACGGGAGAGGAUAGGGGAAUUCCUGGUGUAGCGGUGAAAUGCGUAGAUAUCAGGAGGAACACCGGUGGCGAAGGCGCCUAUCUGGCCCGAUACUGACGCUGAGGCGCGAAAGCUAGGGGAGCAAACG